This 736-nucleotide ribosomal RNA is filed under the name Sticta stipitata. Its description in RNAcentral is "SSU rRNA". It matches the Rfam family "Bacterial small subunit ribosomal RNA", at positions 375 to 1127 of the family's 1533-position model. Lineage: Eukaryota; Fungi; Ascomycota; Lecanoromycetes; Peltigerales; Lobariaceae. The record is from RNAcentral.
GCAAUAGCUGAUUGCAUUUAAUUUAAUGUAGUUACUACUUGGUAGUUUAAAAUUCUAGGUAGAAUUAUGAUGAUGACAUUAUCUGUCUAUUAGUCUUGACCAAAUUACGUGCCAGCAGUCGCGGUAAUACGUAGAAGACAAGUGUUAUUCAUCUUUAUUAGGUUUAAAGCGUACCAAGACGGUUAAUAAAGCCCAAAAGAAAUGAAUACGGGGGACACAUUAACUAGAGUUAUAUGAAAGGAAGCUAUUAGGUACUGUUGAGUGUAGGGAUGAAAUUCUAUUAUACCAGAUGAUUGGCACAGAUUAAUGCGAAGGCGUCUUCUUAUGUAAUAACUGACGUUGUAGGACGAAGGCUUAGGAAGUGAACAGGAUUAGGUACCCCAGUAAUCUAGGCAGAAAAUGAUGAAUGUCAUAGGUUGAAUACAGACGGUUAUAAUAAAAAGCCAACUGUAUAUUGGUGAUAUAAUCAGUCUAUUAUUGUGUCUAUAAAUGAAAGUGUAAGCAUUCCACCUCAAGAGUAAUUUGGCAACAUUGGAACUGAAAUCAUUAGACCGUUUCUGAAACCAGUAGUGAAGUAUGUUGUUUAAUUAGAUGAUACACAAGAACCUUACCACACUUUGAAUAUAUAUAUAAAAUAUAUUUACAAGCGCUGCACGGCUGUCUACAGUUAAUGUCGUGAGGCUUUGGUUAGCUCCAGUAAAUUAACGUAAACCCUAAUUUUAUUUAUAAAUAAAAU